RNAcentral lists this ribosomal RNA (405 nucleotides) under uncultured bacterium. Its description in RNAcentral is "partial 16S ribosomal RNA". It matches the Rfam family "Bacterial small subunit ribosomal RNA", at positions 28 to 526 of the family's 1533-position model. The record is from RNAcentral.
GAUGAACGCUGGCGGCGUGCCUAAUACAUGCAAGUCGAGCGAAGCGGGGACGGGUGAGUGACACGUGGAGGACCUCCUAUAAGACUGGGAUAACUUCGUGAAAACGGAGCUAAACCGGAAACUUAUAGCUGAAUCGGCUCUGCAUUAGCUAGUUGGUAAGGUAACGGCUUACCAAGGCAACGAUGCCUAGCCGACCUGAGAGGGUGAUCGGCCACACUGGAACUGAGACACGGUCCAGACUCCUACGGGAGGCAGCAGUAGGGAAUAUUCCGCAAUGGGCGAAAGCCUGACGGAGCAACGCCGCGUGAGUGAUGAAGGCCUUCGGAUCGUAAAACUCUGUCAGUAGGGAGGCGGUACCUAAUCAGGAAGCACCGGCUAACUACGUGCCAGCCGCCGCGGUAAUAC